GAUGAACGCUGGCGGUGUGCCUAAUACAUGCAAGUCGAGCGAACAGACGAGGAGCUUGCUCCUCUGACGUUAGCGGCGGACGGGUGAGUAACACGUGGAUAACCUACCUAUAAGACUGGGAUAACUUCGUGAAACCGGAGCUAAUACCGGAUAAUAUAUUGAACCGCAUGGUUCAAUAGUGAAAGACGGUUUUGCUGUCACUUAUAGAUGGAUCCGCGCCGCAUUAGCUAGUUGGUAAGGUAACGGCUUACCAAGGCAACGAUGCGUAGCCGACCUGAGAGGGUGAUCGGCCACACUGGAACUGAGACACGGUCCAGACUCCUACGGGAGGCAGCAGUAGGGAAUCUUCCACAAUGGGCGAAAGCCUGACGGAGCAACGCCGCGUGAGUGAUGAAGGUCUUCGGAUCGUAAAACUCUGUUAUUAGGGAAGAACAAAUGUGUAAGUAACUAUGCACGUCUUGACGGUACCUAAUCAGAAAGCCACGGCUAACUACGUG
RNAcentral lists this ribosomal RNA (497 nucleotides) under uncultured bacterium. RNAcentral's name for it is "partial 16S ribosomal RNA". It matches the Rfam family "Bacterial small subunit ribosomal RNA", at positions 28 to 507 of the family's 1533-position model. The record is from RNAcentral.